This 202-nucleotide long non-coding RNA is filed under the name Elaeis guineensis (African oil palm). RNAcentral describes it as "long non-coding RNA (EGUI_LNC048592)". Lineage: Eukaryota; Viridiplantae; Streptophyta; Magnoliopsida; Arecales; Arecaceae. The record is from RNAcentral.
AUAUAAUGGUGAAAUAUGUUAGUAAUUUCAAUUUAAUUGAAAGUUAUUAUGGAUUACCCAAAAAAAGUAGCGGAUUUUGGAUGUGAUCUAGAAUUUAUGAAAAAUUUGAAGAAUCUUGUUGAGAAAAUAAAAUAGAAUGAAGGUAAUUAAAAAUGAUGAACAAUUAUUAUAAAUAAUUUUUUUUAUCUGAUGUCUUGAGUGG